GAAAUGCGAUAAGUAGUGUGAAUUGCAGAAUUCAGUGAAUCAUCGAAUCUUUGAACGCACAUUGCGCCCCUUGGUAUUCCAUGGGGCAUGCCUGUUCGCGCGUCAUUUUUACCCUACAGCUUUGCUUGGUGUUGCGCGUCUUGUCCUCUUCUGGACGACUCGCCUCAAAACAAUUGGCAGCCUGCAUAUUGGUAUCGGAGCGCAGCACAAGUCGCACUUUGUUCCAUGAAUGUUGGCAUCCAUCAAGACCAUUUUUUCACUCUUGACCUCGGAUCAGGUAGGGAUACCUGCUGAACUUAA
RNAcentral lists this unclassified non-coding RNA (300 nucleotides) under uncultured Pleosporales. Its description in RNAcentral is "sequence contains ITS1". The stretch from base 1 to 105 matches the Rfam family "5.8S ribosomal RNA", at positions 50 to 154 of the family's 154-position model. Lineage: Eukaryota; Fungi; Ascomycota; Dothideomycetes; Pleosporales. The record is from RNAcentral.